GUUCUAAAAAUAAAGUUAGUUUCUUUUGACAAGUGGCUCCUGAUUUGUGCCAAGCCAGACUUCGGCAAGCAAGGGCUCUACCACUGAGCUACGCCCCAACUUGCUUUUCCCUAAUGAAAAAUCCUUCUCAGAGCUGGAGAAACACAGCAACUUUGCUUUCCUCCCCGGAGGUCCAGCAGCCCUUGAAUGACCAUGAGGACGAGAGCCACACAUUCAGCCAAACAACAGAGGAAUCUGGAAGAUAUGAUAUCUUGGAACUUUGUACUACCUCUGAGGUUUUUGUAAUUUGCAACAAAGAAAUCCCUAUUUGGUGAAGUCGAAGUAUCCAACUUCUUUUGCAAAAUGCAUUCCUAAGCAAUGAGAGGGAGUUCCAGUUCCUCAUCAUUUAUCCUUUGUUCUCCCCAUUCCCAUCUCAUACCAUUAAGUGCUAAGUAAAUAGUUUUUGAAUGAUCAAACCCAGGACCUCGCACAUGCUCGGUAAGCGCUCUACCACUGAGCUGUAGCCCCAGCCUAAAUGAAUGUUCUUAAUUUCACACCAAUCUCUUAAAAUAGAUGUGGAAGUUGAGGUCCAGAGACAUUAAACAACUUAGGAGCCCAUGGUCUAAUUUAAAAGCUGGGGUUGGUUGGUUUCUUUUUUUCUUUUUAAAUUGAAGUAAAAUCACAUAACAUGAAUUUAAUUAUUAACUAUUUGAAGUGUGCCAGUGACAUUUAGAACCUCAUAAUACAACAUGCAGCCAUCUCCUCUAUGUAGUUCUAAAAUAUCUUCACCACCCCCUAAAGAAACCCCCGCACCCAUCAAGCAAUUUUUCCCCACAGCCCCUCCUCUCAGCCCAUCAACUAUGAAUCUAAUUCUGUCUCCAUGGAUUUACCUAAUAUAGACAUUUCAAAUAAAUGGAAUCAUAUGAUGUGUGA
Non-coding RNA from Ictidomys tridecemlineatus (thirteen-lined ground squirrel), 912 nucleotides. The record is from RefSeq and is a predicted model, not a curated record. Lineage: Eukaryota; Metazoa; Chordata; Mammalia; Rodentia; Sciuridae.